This 257-nucleotide unclassified non-coding RNA is filed under the name uncultured Curvularia. RNAcentral's name for it is "sequence contains ITS2". The stretch from base 1 to 52 matches the Rfam family "5.8S ribosomal RNA", at positions 103 to 154 of the family's 154-position model. Lineage: Eukaryota; Fungi; Ascomycota; Dothideomycetes; Pleosporales; Pleosporaceae. The record is from RNAcentral.
AACGCACAUUGCGCCCUUUGGUAUUCCAAAGGGCAUGCCUGUUCGAGCGUCAUUUGUACCCUCAAGCUUUGCUUGGUGUUGGGCGUUUUGUCUUGCCUUGCGGCGAGACUCGCCUUAAAACGAUUGGCAGCCGGCCUACUGGUUUCGGAGCGCAGCACAGCUUUUGCGCUUGCCAACCAGCUAAAGAGGUCAGCAAUCCAUCAAGCCCAUUUCUCACUUUUGACCUCGGAUCAGGUAGGGAUACCCGCUGAACUUAA